This 232-nucleotide long non-coding RNA is filed under the name Anser brachyrhynchus (Pink-footed goose). RNAcentral's name for it is "lncRNA (ENSABRG00000011298.1)". Lineage: Eukaryota; Metazoa; Chordata; Aves; Anseriformes; Anatidae. The record is from RNAcentral.
AUACUCUAGCAGGUGAUACUCAAUUUAGCUUAGAUCAAACAAAGUCUCAAGCAGCACUUAUAGCAAGAAAUACAUUGCAAGGCUCAAGGUUGUGUUGCUAGAGCUCUUCCCCUACACUGCUAAAUGCUUGACAGAGUGGGUGUUUAAGGAACAAGCUCUUCACUGAAGAAGAUAGAGUAAAUUUGAGGUUUAAGAUAUUGUUUUUAUUCUUCUAUGAAAUAUAAUCAUACAC